CGCAUCUGUGCAUGCAGCAUAUCAAUAAGCGGAGGAAAAGAAACUAACAAGGAUUCCCCUAGUAACGGCGAGUGAAGCGGGAAGAGCUCAAAUUUGAAAUCUUAAAGGGUUUCCCUUUACGAAUUGUAGUUUAAAGAAGUGUUUUCUGUUGAGGUUUUGGUAAAAGUUCUUUGGAAUAGGACAUCAUAGAGGGUGAGAAUCCCGUAUUUGACCUUUACUUUCAACUUUGUGAUACACUUUCAAAGAGUCGGAUUGUUUGGGAAUGCAGUCCAAAAUGGGUGGUAAAUUUCAUCUAAAGCUAAAUAUUGGCGAGAGACCGAUAGCGAACAAGUACCGUGAGGGAAAGAUGAAAAGAACUUUGAAAAGAGAGUUAAACAGUACGUGAAAUUGUCAAAAGGGAAGCGUUUGACACCAGUGUUGUUUUCCUGAAAAUCAAUUAAAGAACUGUUUAUGCUAAGCUGUUUAGACUUUAUCAGCUAUCUGUUUAGUUUUAGGCUUUUCUUUAAUGCACUUUUCAGUUAACAAGUCAACAUCAAUUUCUUUUGCUGUAAAAAAGCUUGAGGAAGGUGGCUUGAGAUUCGUCUUAAGUGUUUAUAGCCUCUUGCCUAUGCAGUCGGAGAGAUUGAGGUCUGCAGCGUAGAUCCUUCGGGGCUAAAUGCAUUUGUGCUAAGUUAUAACAUUUUAUAGACAACUUGUUGACUAUGAUUUGUCUUGUAGCUUACUCGCUUAUGUUAUUUUACCUACGCUUAGGAUGUUGAACGCGCACAGAGUCUC
RNAcentral lists this ribosomal RNA (774 nucleotides) under uncultured Neocallimastigales. RNAcentral's name for it is "partial large subunit ribosomal RNA". It matches the Rfam family "Eukaryotic large subunit ribosomal RNA", at positions 26 to 635 of the family's 3401-position model. Lineage: Eukaryota; Fungi; Neocallimastigomycota; Neocallimastigomycetes; Neocallimastigales. The record is from RNAcentral.